AGACAAACUCAAAAUGGGAGACAUUGGACAAGAUAACUGGCCAAACUCUUCCGAAGUGUCAAAGUCAUGAUGUCAAAGAGAGAGGGGAGACCUGAUUCCUGCUCCAGGACACCUCAGAGACAGGACAACUAAAUGAAAAUGUCUACUAUGGACUCACUGUGGAUCUUGUGAAGUUUGGCAUUUUCGUCCACCAGGUUAGAGAUAAACAUGUGCAAAAUGCUUGAUAAGACAAUUCACAAGCAAGAAUUUGAUCCAAAGGAACUGAUAAGAUGCUGGAGAAAUGUAUGAAAAACUCUUCAUACUACAGCAGGAAAAAAACUGUAGAACAAUUUAACCCGUGGAAUUAUUGGAAGGAAAGAGGAACUGUCAUUAUACCCAAGAAAAUCUCAGUUGGAUAUCCAAAGAUGUUUUAUCAUCAGCCCAGCUACAGCAGAUCAGCAAGAGAAUCAGGCUGUCUGGUUUGGAAAAUAAAUUUUGACACUGCUCUGUCCUCCCUGUCCUGUAACAGGCCAACCUCCCGAAGAUGCAUAAAGACACCUUUGCCGUUGACCAGGCAGACCCUGCAUCCACAGGACAUAGAGAGAAAGGUGCUCCCUGAACACUGAUCUGGAUAAGCAUUGCUGGGUCAGUGCAGAGGCGUCCAUUUCCCCAGUCUGCCGAGCUGGCCUAAAGCUGAGGACCUCUUAGUGGGAGCUGAGGACAUGUGCCUGAAGAGGCAAGCCCUUGACUGAUGGAAAUUGGAGUCUGAGUUCCAUGUGGGGGACUGGGAAGCACAGCAAGGUCUGAAAUGGGAGACCCAGGGAAGGGCAGAGAGGACCAAAGGAGGAAGGGGGUCUACAGUGUGGGAAACAGCCUGGACGCAACAGCCGGGGGAGGAGGCCUGCUCUGGCCCCAGUGGCCCCUUGUAAGCAGGAAAGGCAGCUGGCUAGACCUCUUCUGUGUUAUUCACUCUGAUUUUAUCCUUUAUCUUCCCCUCCCAACCUCACCUCCUUUCUAACCCCAAAGCCAUGCAGCUAAUAUGACUAAGAUUGCUGGGCGUUUGCUUGGAAAUGCAAAUGAGAAUUUCUGGUAGUUUCCUAGUUUCCUUGAUCUCCUUUGUCAAGUUUAUUGAGGGGAAAGGACUCUCGGUUAAAAAAAAAAAAAAAAGAAAA
Molecule: long non-coding RNA, 1151 nt
Organism: Homo sapiens (human)
Lineage: Eukaryota; Metazoa; Chordata; Mammalia; Primates; Hominidae
Product: long intergenic non-protein coding RNA 1792
Source: Ensembl